AUGAAAAAUAUUUUCUAAGCAAUGUCCGAGUCUCUAUUUGCUGUCUGGCAACAUUUAUUCAGACGCCUUUUGUGAUGUCGGACAUGAAAAUGCCUUAAGCUUAGCCUGAAAGCAAUGAAGUCAUAAAAUAAUCAUCCAUAACUUGCAGUAAGCAAC
This is a long non-coding RNA of Octopus sinensis (East Asian common octopus), 156 nucleotides long. RefSeq lists it as uncharacterized. The transcript is spliced from 3 exons. The record is from RefSeq and is a predicted model, not a curated record. Lineage: Eukaryota; Metazoa; Mollusca; Cephalopoda; Octopoda; Octopodidae.